UGAGGUAGAGGCGCGACUUUUAAUGAGUAAGUUCAGGGAGAUGGGGAAAUUGAUGAACUGAAUUGAAAGGUAAAGUCGCCGAAGCAUAAGUGGAUUUUUCCCUAAAACUUAUGCUGGGUCUAUAUCCGAAAAGGUAUGGAACUGUCAAUCAAGACUUUCCCUGGGUCUUGAUUGGAGCGCUAUCU
Molecule: non-coding RNA, 185 nt
Filed under: marine sediment metagenome
Also listed under: 1 other name
Description: Lysine riboswitch aptamer
Rfam family: Lysine riboswitch aptamer
About the family: Riboswitches are metabolite binding domains within certain messenger RNAs that serve as precision sensors for their corresponding targets.
Source: RNAcentral